CACGACGGUUCUAUUUAUAAAGAAACGCAGACACUUGUUAGGGGCGUUAAUAAAGUCCUAAGGAUAGCAGCGUAAAUGCUGGUCUCUAUAAUAAGCGUAUACAAGGAGGAAUAUACUGACCAAAUCCUGCAUACUGAGACUGAGAAUGAUGAUCUGACAAAGUGAGGAGCCAAUGAUGUCCGUGCGUCAAACUCUGGCAGAGAAGAUGUAUCUGGAAGAAGACCUGGCGUCUGGACAAGAUGAAAAGGAAAAACAACAGACAUCACUUAUAUCAAGUAGAAGAAAAACAUGCAGAAAAAAAUUGUAGAAUUAAAGUUCUGCUUAGUACUUUGUUGCUUUUCUUCAGGUUUUUAUGAUACUUGGAUUCUUUGAGGCCUGGACUUCACCAAUAAUAAAUAAUAUAAUAUAAAUAAUAAUCUACAUCACCUGACAGAAGAGAAUGACAAAAUAGAGCCUUGUCCUGGACCAAGUGUUUAAAUUUUAUAAUACAUUUUCCAUCAGAUAGAAAUCCAGACUAUUUCCUACCCAUGUC
Hyla sarda is the source of this 532-nucleotide long non-coding RNA. RefSeq lists it as uncharacterized. The record is from RefSeq and is a predicted model, not a curated record. The transcript is spliced from 3 exons. NCBI's taxonomy places the organism in Eukaryota, Metazoa, Chordata, Amphibia, Anura, Hylidae.